GUGGCUCCCAUCUUAGAAAUCAAGAAACUAAGCUCAGGAAUUAAGUGUCUUGGCUCAUGUCAACAUCGGAUAUUUGUACCUGAGUCCCUCUGGACUACAAAGCCCAUCUUUUAUACUGACUCUACUACGCUUCCUCUAACUCUAUAGAUGGGUUCAAUUCCUGCCUCUGGCACUUAUUGGCUGGAUAAGUUUGGGCGCCAUGCUGUGAGGCAACCCAGAUCACAUUAAGAGGCCACAAGUAGUGUUCCAACCGACAGACCCUGCUGAGGUCCCAGCUGACGGCCAGCAUCAACUGCCAGACAAGUGAGUGAAGACAACUCUCACCCUAGCCAUCAUCUAACUGCAACCACAUAAGAGACCUUGGGCAAGAGCUGCCUGGCUGAGCACAGUCCAUCCCCAAAACAUGAGAGAUAAUAACGGAGUGACUGUUGUUCUGAGCCACUAGGUUUUGGGGUGAUUUGUUGCACAGCAAUAGAUAAGGAGAACACUGUUGUGCCCCCUGUGGUCAUGUAAGGACAACAAAUCGCCAGAAAUAAAAAAGCCCUCCUAGUGGGUGGUCCUGAAUA
Macaca mulatta (Rhesus monkey) is the source of this 566-nucleotide non-coding RNA. NCBI's taxonomy places the organism in Eukaryota, Metazoa, Chordata, Mammalia, Primates, Cercopithecidae. The record is from RefSeq and is a predicted model, not a curated record.